Molecule: ribosomal RNA, 861 nt
Filed under: uncultured archaeon
Lineage: Archaea
Description: bacterial SSU rRNA
Rfam family: Archaeal small subunit ribosomal RNA
Source: RNAcentral
CACCCGCAGCUCGAGUGGUGGUCACUUUUAUUGAGCCUAAAGCGUUUGUAGCCGGUUUUGCAAAUCUUCAGAUAAAUUCCUCUGCUUAACAGAUGAUCUUCUGAAGAGACUGCGAGACUUGGGACCGGGUGAGGUUGAAGGUACUUCCGGGGUAGGGGUAAAAUCCUGUAAUCCUGGAAGGACGACCGGUGGCGAAGGCGUUCAACUAGAACGGAUCCGACGGUGAGGAACGAGGGCUAGGGUAGCAAACCGGAUUAGAUACCCGGGUAGUCCUAGCUGUAAACACUGCCCACUUGGUGUUGCCCCUCCGAUGAGGGGAGGCAGUGCCGGAGCGAAGGUGUUAAGUGGGCCGCUUGGGGAGUAUGGUCGCAAGGCUGAAACUUAAAGGAAUUGGCGGGGGAGCACCGCAACGGGAGGAGCGUGCGGUUUAAUUGGAUUCAACGCCGGAAAACUCACCGGGAGCGACCUUUGGAUGAGAGUCAGCCUGAUGAGCUUACUCGAUAGAAGGAGAGGUGGUGCAUGGCCGUCGUCAGCUCGUACCGUAGGGCGUUCACUUAAGUGUGAUAACGAGCGAGACCCCCAUCUCUAAUUGCUAACGUGCAUUCGCGUGCACGCGCACUUUAGAGGGACCGCCAGUGCUAAACUGGAGGAAGGAGGGGUCGACGGCAGGUCAGUACGCCCCGAAUCUCCCGGGCAACACGCGCGCUACAAAGGGCAGGACAAUGAGUUGCCACCUCGAAAGGGGGAGCUAACCUCGAAACCUGUUCGUAGUUAGGAUUGAGGGCUGUAACUCGCCCUCAUGAAUGUGGAUUCCGUAGUAAUCGCGGGUCAACAGCCCGCGGUAAAUAUGCCCCUGCUCCU